This 253-nucleotide ribosomal RNA is filed under the name uncultured bacterium. RNAcentral describes it as "partial 16S ribosomal RNA". It matches the Rfam family "Bacterial small subunit ribosomal RNA", at positions 524 to 776 of the family's 1533-position model. The record is from RNAcentral.
CACGUAGGGCGCGAGCGUUGUCCGGAAUCAUUGGGCGUAAAGAGCGCGUAGGCGGUCCGGUAAGUCCGCUCUGAAAGUCCGGGGCUCAACCCCGGGAGGCGGGCGGAUACUGUCGGGCUAGAGUCCGGAAGAGGCGAGUGGAAUUCCUGGUGUAGCGGUGAAAUGCGCAGAUAUCAGGAGGAACACCGAUGGCGAAGGCAGCUCGCUGGGACGGUACUGACGCUGAGGCGCGAAAGCGUGGGGAGCGAACAGG